Molecule: ribosomal RNA, 422 nt
Filed under: uncultured bacterium
Lineage: Bacteria
Description: bacterial SSU rRNA
Rfam family: Bacterial small subunit ribosomal RNA
Source: RNAcentral
UGAGGAAUAUUGGGCAAUGCCCGAAAGGGUGACCCAGCAACGCCGCGUGGAGGAUGAAGGUCGUAAGAUUGUAAACUCCUGUUAGAGGGGAAGAAUAACUAAGUUUGGAGCUUAGUAUGACUGUACCCUCAGAGAAAGCCCCGGCUAACUACGUGCCAGCAGCCGCGGUAAUACGUAGGGGGCAAGCGUUGUCCGGAUUUACUGGGUGUAAAGGGCGCGCAGGCGGAAUGGAAAGUCAGUGGUGAAAUCCUACAGCUUAACUGUAGAACUGCCUUGGAUACUUUCAUUCUUGAGUUCGGGAGAGAGAGACGGAAUUCCAGGUGUAGUGGUGAAAUACGUAGAUAUCUGGAAGAACACCAGUUGCGAAGGCGGUCUCUUGGUCCGAUACUGACGCUGAGGCGCGAAAGCGUGGGGAGCAAACA